GAGUAACACGUGGGCAAUCUGCCCUGCACUCUGGGACAAGCCCUGGAAACGGGGUCUAAUACCGGAUAUGACCGUCUUGGGCAUCCUUGAUGGUGUAAAGCUCCGGCGGUGCAGGAUGAGCCCGCGGCCUAUCAGCUUGUUGGUGAGGUAAUGGCUCACCAAGGCGACGACGGGUAGCCGGCCUGAGAGGGCGACCGGCCACACUGGGACUGAGACACGGCCCAGACUCCUACGGGAGGCAGCAGUGGGGAAUAUUGCACAAUGGGCGAAAGCCUGAUGCAGCGACGCCGCGUGAGGGAUGACGGCCUUCGGGUUGUAAACCUCUUUCAGCAGGGAAGAAGCGAGAGUGACGGUACCUGCAGAAGAAGCG
RNAcentral lists this ribosomal RNA (370 nucleotides) under Streptomyces misionensis. RNAcentral describes it as "bacterial SSU rRNA". It matches the Rfam family "Bacterial small subunit ribosomal RNA", at positions 108 to 492 of the family's 1533-position model. The record is from RNAcentral. Lineage: Bacteria; Bacillati; Actinomycetota; Actinomycetes; Kitasatosporales; Streptomycetaceae.